This 166-nucleotide ribosomal RNA is filed under the name Clostridioides difficile. Its description in RNAcentral is "partial 16S ribosomal RNA". It matches the Rfam family "Bacterial small subunit ribosomal RNA", at positions 1 to 173 of the family's 1533-position model. The record is from RNAcentral. Lineage: Bacteria; Bacillati; Bacillota; Clostridia; Peptostreptococcales; Peptostreptococcaceae.
UUUUAUUUGAGAGUUUGAUCCUGGCUCAGGAUGAACGCUGGCGACGUGCCUAACACAUGCAAGUUGAGCGAUUUACUUCGGUAAAGAGCGGCGGACGGGUGAGUAACGCGUGGGUAACCUACCCUGUACACACGGAUAACAUACCGAAAGGUAUGCUAAUACGGGA